This 510-nucleotide ribosomal RNA is filed under the name uncultured bacterium. Its description in RNAcentral is "partial 16S ribosomal RNA". It matches the Rfam family "Bacterial small subunit ribosomal RNA", at positions 30 to 523 of the family's 1533-position model. The record is from RNAcentral.
AUUGAACGCUGGCGGCAUGCUUUACACAUGCAAGUCGAACGGCAGCGCGGGGGCGAUCCUGGCGGCGAGUGGCGAACGGGUGAGUAAAACAUCGGUACGUGCCCAGUCGAGGGGGAUAACGUAGCGAAAGUUACGCUAAUACCGCAUACGAUCUAAGGAUGAAAGCGGGGGACUCUAUAGGAAUAUAGAUCCUCGUGCGAUUGGAGCGGCCGAUGACAGAUUAGGUAGUUGGUAGGGUAAAAGCCUACCAAGCCUGCGAUCUGUAGCUGGUCUGAGAGGACGACCAGCCACACUGAGACUGAGACACGGCCCAGACUCCUACGGGAGUCAGCAGUGGGAAAUUUUGGACGAUGGGGGCAACCCUGAUCCAGCAAUGCCUCGUGCAGGACGAAGGCCUUCGGGUUGUAAACUGCUUUUGUACAGAGCGAAAAAGUUUUCGAUAAUACCGAAAAUUGAUGACGGUACUGUAAGAAUAAGCACCGGCUAACUACGUGCCAGCCGCCGCGGUAA